RNAcentral lists this non-coding RNA (18 nucleotides) under Rattus norvegicus (Norway rat). Lineage: Eukaryota; Metazoa; Chordata; Mammalia; Rodentia; Muridae. The record is from RNAcentral.
UGAAGACCCUGAUGAGCA